GACGAACGCUGGCGGCGUGCUUAACACAUGCAAGUCGAACGGAAAGGCCCUGCUUUUGUGGGGUGCUCGAGUGGCGAACGGGUGAGUAACACGUGAGUAACCUGCCCUUGACUUUGGGAUAACUUCAGGAAACUGGGGCUAAUACCGGAUAGGAGCUCCUGCUGCAUGGUGGGGGUUGGAAAGUUUCGGCGGUUGGGGAUGGACUCGCGGCUUAUCAGCUUGUUGGUGGGGUAGUGGCUUACCAAGGCUUUGACGGGUAGCCGGCCUGAGAGGGUGACCGGCCACAUUGGGACUGAGAUACGGCCCAGACUCCUACGGGAGGCAGCAGUGGGGAAUAUUGCACAAUGGGCGGAAGCCUGAUGCAGCAACGCCGCGUGCGGGAUGACGGCCUUCGGGUUGUAAACCGCUUUCGCCUGUGACGAAGCGUGAGUGACGGUAAUGGGUAAAGAAGCACCGGCUAACCACGUGCCAGCAGCCGCGGUGAUACGUAGGGUGCGAGCGUUGUCCGGAUUUAUUGGGCGUAAAGGGCUCGUAGGUGGUUGAUCGCGUCGGAAGUGUAAUCUUGGGGCUCAACCCUGAGCGUGCUUUCGAUACGGGUUGACUUGAGGAAGGUAGGGGAGAAUGGAAUUCCUGGUGGAGCGGUGGAAUGCGCAGAUAUCAGGAGGAACACCAGUGGCGAAGGCGGUUCUCUGGGCCUUUCCUGACGCUGAGGGGCGAAAGCGUGGGGAGCGAACAGGCUUAGAUACCCUGGUAGUCCACGCUGUAAACGGUGGGUACUAGGUGUGGGGUCCAUUCCACGGGUUCCGUGCCGUAGCUAACGCUUUAAGUACCCCGCCUGGGGAGUACGGCCGCAAGGCUAAAACUCAAAGGAAUUGACGGGGCCCCGCACAAGCGGCGGAGCAUGCGGAUUAAUUCGAUGCAACGCGUAGAACCUUACCUGGGUUUGACAUGGAUCGGGAGUGCUCAGAGAUGGGUGUGCCUCUUUUGGGGUCGGUUCACAGGUGGUGCAUGGCUGUCGUCAGCUCGUGUCGUGAGAUGUUGGGUUAAGUCCCGCAACGAGCGCAACCCUUGUUCACUGUUGCCAGCACGUUAUGGUGGGGACUCAGUGGAGACCGCCGGGGUCAACUCGGAGGAAGGUGGGGAUGACGUCAAGUCAUCAUGCCCCUUAUGUCCAGGGCUUCACGCAUGCUACAAUGGCUGGUACAGAGAGUGGCGAGCCUGUGAGGGUGAGCGAAUCUCGGAAAGCCGGUCUCAGUUCGGAUUGGGGUCUGCAACUCGACCUCAUGAAGUCGGAGUCGCUAGUAAUCGCAGAUCAGCAACGCUGCGGUGAAUACGUUCCCGGG
RNAcentral lists this ribosomal RNA (1343 nucleotides) under uncultured bacterium. RNAcentral's name for it is "16S ribosomal RNA". It matches the Rfam family "Bacterial small subunit ribosomal RNA", at positions 28 to 1378 of the family's 1533-position model. The record is from RNAcentral.